AGGGAACAGCAUGGAUCCUGGUCAGGCUGGUCUGGAUCCAUGCUGGUCGCAAACCCAUUAUGUUGGUUUUGUCAUGGCAGGGCUCAUAUAUAUAUAUGGAAUGUCAAGAGAAUUUGUUGUUGGUAAAAGAAAACCCACUGACUUUAGCAACUUAGCAACCACGGAAUUUAUUAUGCUUUUGUUCAAGAUUUUGUUUGUUAUUAUCAGAAGAUGUAGAAUCAUCGUAAUGAUGACAGCAGAUGUUCAUACAUGCUUUGAAUAUAUUUAUUUUUAGAUUUAUGUGAUUUUAAAAAAAAGGAUUUUCUUUUUUGUGUGUAUGUCAAAAUAAUUAAGUGUUAUUCAUCCUAGUGUACAUUGUAGGAAUGGGUUUAAAAAGUUUAAUAAGGAGUUAAAUCUGUUAUUGCACUAAAGUGACAAGUUAUCUAUUUCGUGCCUUUUGAGUUGUAAGGAUAUUUGGUCUCCUUUGUGCAGUAACGGGUAAAAGAUCCGGAAACACAAUUUUUUUAUGGUUUUAUAUCAUAAAUAUGAUGCUUAAAUUAAGAUUGAUCAAUUUUGUAAGUUCCAAAAAGCAUUAUUUAUAAAGAUAUUACCGAAUUUAAACAUUUCAUUUAAAUAAAGGGAGGUAAUGAAAAAUUUAUUUUCUAUAAAGUUUAAGUUAAAUUUUACAAUAAGAAAUAAAUGCAUAUAUUUUAAUGAUUACAUAUAUUAUGUACAAAUAUUUGCAGAACAUAUUUUACAUAUUCUUGGAUGUUUGAAAAUUGAUUAAUAAGCAUAAUUAUAUACAUGUACAUAUACAUAAUUUAACUUAGUGUGGUAUACAACCUCAAUUACAACAUACAGGAUCAUGAUUUCAACUUUAUGAAUUUACGAUUUCAACUCAUGUUAUUUUAUAAUUAUAUGGAGUUAACUCGUUACUGCAAAAAGGUGACAUUAUAAUACUGCACGUUUGUAACGUCAUUUUUCAUUGGAUAAUCGUGACGUUUAUAUAGUUUUAUAUACACGGCUGCUGUCGAUUCAUGAAGAAAUCUUACUUUUUCUCUUAAAAAUGAUGCUUGCUGUAUUAUAAAUUUGUUAGCGGCUCGGGUUAUAUUUACAAACAGCCGUUUAUAUAGGGCCAUAUAACCUGUCAAAAAUUUUUAUAACUAAUAAUAUAUGUGUGUGAGUAUAAUUGUCCACCUAUAUGCUACAUCAAUAUUUUUUGUAAAUAUUUGUUCUGAUAAGAUUGCCAUAACAACACUUAUGCUUCCAUGACAGAUUUCUUAAUAGAUGUGUUAUGUACAUGUACUGAAUUUUUUUUUGGGUUUUUUUUUUUUUGUCGUUUUUUUUUUUUCUGCAUUGUUUUUUACAGACCUGAAAGAUUUUUACACCCAUUGAAUUACUUUAAUGUAUGACUGAACCCUCUUUUGUUAGUGUUUUUUUAGUUGAUUCUUUGUCAGCUUACAAACUGUUUGUGUCAGUGAGCAGAAACCCAUUUUACUUAAACCACUCUGUCAUUUAAUUGAAACCCUCUUACUGACUUUUCCAUCAUUUUACUGAAACUUAACUGUCAGUAACCAGAAACACUUACCCUUUUUUCAUAAUUUUACUGAAACCACUCUGUCAGUUAAUUGAAACCCUCUUAUCGACUUUUCCAUCAUUUUACUGAAACUACUUUCAGUAAACAGAAAACCAGUCUGCUGAAACCAUUUUUGUCAGUCACUUUACAACUGCUGUCAUUUAAAUGGCAACCUCUGUCAAUUUACUGAAACCUUGCCUGUUUACUUACACCUUCUUUAUUACUUAGUGAAACACAGUUUGCCAGUUUAUUUAUUAAAAUAUUUAUUGACAAUUUUCUAAAACCCUGGUUGUUAGUUUACUUAUGUAUUCUUUGUAUGUUAAAUGAAAGUUUGUUAUAUUACUGUGCUAUAUUUCAUUGAAACCUUUAUGUCAAUUUUA
This is a long non-coding RNA of Ruditapes philippinarum (Manila clam), 1935 nucleotides long. RefSeq lists it as uncharacterized. The transcript is spliced from 2 exons. The record is from RefSeq and is a predicted model, not a curated record. Lineage: Eukaryota; Metazoa; Mollusca; Bivalvia; Venerida; Veneridae.